UGACCAGGGCCAGGUGAGAAUCCUGGCCAUAGGAACCUUCACUUUCUCCACAGAUGGAAACCUAGGUAGUCUGGCUCCAGAGUCUGUAUUCUCAUCUUCUAUUCUACACCAUCUCAAUUGUUUUUGGUUCAUUGAGAAUAUCAGUUACAGUUAGUAUAAAAAGGGAGGAGCUUCUGGAGAAACUUAAGAAAAUGUGCCCUAAGGAUAAAACGUGCACUUAUAUCUGACCACCAGAUGGAGUCCUGAGGGCAGUUGUUCCCUAACACAGAUUUGAUCUGCUGUUGAGCCACAACUCCCAGCAGCCACUCUGUUAACACAUAUAUUCAAUGAUAAAGGUUCUUAGGUUCACAGGUGAUAAGCAAAGCUACCAAAUAGGUAAGUUGUUUGGAGAAAUGGAUUUUACCCAAAAUGAAUCAAUAGUUUGCUUUAAGGAAACACUAUCCCUCAGGGUUUAAUUCAGAAGUGUGUCCCAGGAGGCAUGGAAAAGAAAAAAAAUGUCCAACAAUUUUUCCUACCCUCCAGGACUGGAGUAUUAGAAAGGGGGAGAAACCUUGCAAAUAAAUGCAUAAAUUUUGUUGAGAUAAGGGUAACACACCUUUUAAUUUUGUCUGAACAAUACCUGGUACUUUAAUAGUUUGUGGUGAUAGAAAAGUACUACGCUGUUUCCCAUUUAAGAACCCAUCUGAAGGGCUUAUCAAGGGUCCCUGCUUUGAGACCCAGCUUGCAUAUUGGAAUUGGGAUCUUGUUUUUACCAUUAAUUCUUUGUUUUUAUUACUAGGUAUAGGGAAAACAGAAGUUCCAUGGCCAGGAUCCUCACCUGAUCCUAAUCUACUUGCCCACUGUGCAUGUGCAGUGAUGUAAUACUUGGCCUACGGAGCAGGGCAUGCUUGCAUAUGUGUUGGCAUCUCCCAGAAAUAAUUGGAACAUUGAUAA
Molecule: long non-coding RNA, 933 nt
Organism: Manis pentadactyla (Chinese pangolin)
Lineage: Eukaryota; Metazoa; Chordata; Mammalia; Pholidota; Manidae
Exons: 2
Source: RefSeq, a predicted model, not a curated record